AUUGAACGCUGGCGGCAGGCCUAACACAUGCAAGUCGAGCGGAUGAAGGGAGCUUGCUCCUGGAUUCAGCGGCGGACGGGUGAGUAAUGCCUAGGAAUCUGCCUGGUAGUUGGGGAUAACGUCCGUAAACGGGCGCUAAUACCGCAUACGUCCUGAGGGUGAACGUGGGGGAUCUUCGGACCUCACGCUAUCAGAUGAGCCUAGGUCGGAUUAGCUAGUUGGUGGGGUAAAGGCCUACCAAGGCGACGAUCCGUAACUGGUCUGAGAGGAUGAUCAGUCACACUGGAACUGAGACACGGUCCAGACUCCUACGGGAGGCAGCAGUGGGGAAUAUUGGACAAUGGGCGAAAGCCUGAUCCAGCCAUGCCGCGUGUGUGAAGAAGGUCUUCGGAUUGUAAAGCACUUUAAGUUGGGAGGAAGGGCAGUAAGUUAAUACCUUGCUGUUUUGACGUUACCAACAGAAUAAGCACCGGCUAACUUCGUG
RNAcentral lists this ribosomal RNA (484 nucleotides) under uncultured bacterium. Its description in RNAcentral is "partial 16S ribosomal RNA". It matches the Rfam family "Bacterial small subunit ribosomal RNA", at positions 30 to 507 of the family's 1533-position model. The record is from RNAcentral.